GGUGACGUGUCUGAGCGGCCUAAGGAGCACGAUUGGAAGUCGUGUGUGCGUGCAAGCGCACCGUGGGUUCAAAUCCCACCGUCACCGCCA
RNAcentral lists this transfer RNA (90 nucleotides) under Microbacterium sp. RNAcentral's name for it is "tRNA-Ser". It matches the Rfam family "tRNA". From Rfam's summary of the family: Transfer RNA (tRNA) molecules are approximately 80 nucleotides in length. Their secondary structure includes four short double-helical elements and three loops (D, anti-codon, and T loops). RNAcentral also lists the same sequence under 8 other names. Lineage: Bacteria; Bacillati; Actinomycetota; Actinomycetes; Micrococcales; Microbacteriaceae. The record is from RNAcentral.